RNAcentral lists this ribosomal RNA (253 nucleotides) under uncultured bacterium. RNAcentral's name for it is "partial 16S ribosomal RNA". It matches the Rfam family "Bacterial small subunit ribosomal RNA", at positions 524 to 776 of the family's 1533-position model. The record is from RNAcentral.
UACAGAGGGUGCAAGCGUUGUCCGGAAUUAUUGGGCGUAAAGAGCUCGUAGGCGGUCUGUUGCGUCUGCCGUGAAAACCCGAGGCUUAACCUCGGGCCUGCGGUGGAUACGGGCAGACUAGAGGUAGGUAGGGGAGAAUGGAAUUCCCGGUGUAGCGGUGAAAUGCGCAGAUAUCGGGAGGAACACCGGUGGCGAAGGCGGUUCUCUGGGCCUUACCUGACGCUGAGGAGCGAAAGCGUGGGGAGCGAACAGG